CACAUAUAUAGAUCACACCGAUUGAUUGUCUACAUUCGCUUCAUCAUCAUUUCAAAAGGGUUAGGGUUGGUUCUCUCUCUACUCCGGCGAAAAAUGCCGCCUCAAUCUUCAGGUUUAUUUGGAAGUAUUGGUGAUGGCAUGAGUGGAGUC
Molecule: non-coding RNA, 150 nt
Organism: Camellia sinensis
Lineage: Eukaryota; Viridiplantae; Streptophyta; Magnoliopsida; Ericales; Theaceae
Source: RefSeq, a predicted model, not a curated record